AAGGGAGCUUGCCUUGGAUUCAGCGGCGGACGGGUGAGUAAUGCCUAGGAAUCUGCCUGGUAGUGGGGGAUAACGUCCGGAAACGGCCGCUAAUACCGCAUACGUCCUGAGGGAGAAAGUCGGGGAUCUUCGGACCUCACGCUAUCAGAUGAGCCUAGGUCGGAUUAGCUAGUUGGUGGGGUAAAGGCCUACCAAGGCGACGAUCCGUAACUGGUCUGAGAGGAUGAUCAGUCACACUGGAACUGAGACACGGUCCAGACUCCUACGGGAGGCAGCAGUGGGGAAUAUUGGACAAUGGGCGCAAGCCUGAUCCAGCCAUGCCGCGUGUGUGAAGAAGGUCUUCGGAUUGUAAAGCACUUUAAGUUGGGAGGAAGGGCAGUAAGUUAAUACCUUGCUGUUUGACGUUACCAACAGAAUAAGCACC
This 424-nucleotide ribosomal RNA is filed under the name Pseudomonas aeruginosa. Its description in RNAcentral is "bacterial SSU rRNA". It matches the Rfam family "Bacterial small subunit ribosomal RNA", at positions 73 to 494 of the family's 1533-position model. Lineage: Bacteria; Pseudomonadati; Pseudomonadota; Gammaproteobacteria; Pseudomonadales; Pseudomonadaceae. The record is from RNAcentral.